This 775-nucleotide ribosomal RNA is filed under the name uncultured Neocallimastigales. RNAcentral describes it as "partial large subunit ribosomal RNA". It matches the Rfam family "Eukaryotic large subunit ribosomal RNA", at positions 18 to 616 of the family's 3401-position model. Lineage: Eukaryota; Fungi; Neocallimastigomycota; Neocallimastigomycetes; Neocallimastigales. The record is from RNAcentral.
UCAGACGAUGCGUCAUGCAUAUCAAUAAGCGGAGGAAAAGAAACUAACAAGGAUUCCCCUAGUAACGGCGAGUGAAGCGGGAAGAGCUCAAAUUUGAAAUCUUAAAGGGUUUCCCUUUACGAAUUGUAGUUUAAAGAAGUGUUUUCUGAUGAGGCUUUUGGUAAAAGUUCUUUGGAAUAGGACAUCAUAGAGGGUGAGAAUCCCGUAUUUGACCUUUACUUUCAACUUUGUGAUACACUUUCAAAGAGUCGGAUUGUUUGGGAAUGCAGUCCAAAAUGGGUGGUAAAUUUCAUCUAAAGCUAAAUAUUGGCGAGAGACCGAUAGCGAACAAGUACCGUGAGGGAAAGAUGAAAAGAACUUUGAAAAGAGAGUUAAACAGUACGUGAAAUUGUCAAAAGGGAAGCGUUUGACACCAGUGUUGUUUUUCUGAAAAUCAAUUAAAGAACUGUUUAUGCUAAGCUGUUUAGACUUUAUCAGCUAUCUGUUUAGUUUUGAGCUUUUCUUUAAUGCACUUUUCAGUUAACAAGUCAACAUCAAUUUCUUUUGCUGUAAAGAAGCUUGAGGAAGGUGGCUUGAGAUUCGUCUUAAGUGUUUAUAGCCUCUUGCCUAUGCAGUCGGAGAGAUUGAGGUCUGCAGCGUAGAUCCUUCGGGGCUAAAUGCAUUUGUGCUAAGUUAUAGCAUUUUAUAGACAACUUGUUGACUAUGAUUUGUCUUGUAGCUUACUCGCUUAUGCUAUUUUACCUACGCUUAGGAUGUUGAGCGCAUAUCUCUCUCU